RNAcentral lists this transfer-messenger RNA (318 nucleotides) under Alphaproteobacteria bacterium. It matches the Rfam family "Alphaproteobacteria transfer-messenger RNA". From Rfam's summary of the family: Bacterial tmRNA, also known as 10Sa RNA or SsrA, is named for its dual tRNA and mRNA-like properties. Its role is to liberate the mRNA from a stalled ribosome. Lineage: Bacteria; Pseudomonadati; Pseudomonadota; Alphaproteobacteria. The record is from RNAcentral.
GAACUUCAUUUCAACACGAACAUCCCCUAUAUCUGUUCCUGCCGGCUUGACCGGCUAUGGCGAUAAACGCGCACGGAAUAAGCGGACUGGACCCGGGGGCGGUACCCGGCGCCUCCACCCGAGGGCCAAGGCCAAGGGCCUUCCGGCGGGGGCGAAAUAGGAUCGACAGACGUGUAAAGGUGUAGCUUUUGCCCGGCAUGGUUCCGCCGUUAUCGGGCCGAUCGUAUAGGUGCCAACGAUAACGAAAUGGCGCUCGCUGCCUAAUUGACAGGUAAGCGCGGCACCGGAGGGGCGCCGGGCAACAGAAGCCCCUCCACU